GAUGAACGCUGGCGGCGUGCCUAAUACAUGCAAGUCGAGCGAACAGACGAGGAGCUUGCUCCUCUGACGUUAGCGGCGGACGGGUGAGUAACACGUGGAUAACCUACCUAUAAGACUGGGAUAACUUCGGGAAACCGGAGCUAAUACCGGAUAAUAUAUUGAACCGCAUGGUUCAAUAGUGAAAGACGGUUUUGCUGUCACUUAUAGAUGGAUCCGCGCCGCAUUAGCUAGUUGGUAAGGUAACGGCUUACCAAGGCAACGAUGCGUAGCCGACCUGAGAGGGUGAUAGGCCACACUGGAACGUAGACACGGUCCAGACUCCUACGGGAGGCAGCAGUAGGGAAUCUUACGCAAUGGGCGAAAGCUUGACGGAGCAACGCCGCGUGAGUGAUGGAGGUCUUCGGAUCGUAAAACUCUGUUAUUAGGGAAGAACAAAUGUGUAAGUAACUAUGCACGUCUUGACGGUACCUAAUCAGAAAGCCGCGGCUAACUACGUG
Molecule: ribosomal RNA, 497 nt
Filed under: uncultured bacterium
Lineage: Bacteria
Description: partial 16S ribosomal RNA
Rfam family: Bacterial small subunit ribosomal RNA
Source: RNAcentral